Non-coding RNA from Plectropomus leopardus (leopard coralgrouper), 303 nucleotides. Lineage: Eukaryota; Metazoa; Chordata; Actinopteri; Perciformes; Serranidae. The record is from RefSeq and is a predicted model, not a curated record.
AACUGGGGCAGUGGCAUACUGCAACAACUCUGGAGCUCCUGCAAACAGCUGGCUCGUCUUUGGGCACAUAACACCGUGUUCAACGUCCUUAUCUCCUCUAGAUCCCUGUGUGUUGCUGACUACUGACAGAAAUGUCAGAGACGUCAAGUGAUACAGAGUCGUCCUGUGGCUGGACCAUUAUCAGCAAUGAGGGUUCAGAUAUCGAGACGUUGGGAUCGGAGGCUGCAGUGGAAUAUGGAGCCGAGCUGUUAGAGCGCUCUCCAGUGGAGGAAGAAGAGUUGCAGGAAAAACAGGCCUCUGCAU